GACGAACGCUGGCGGCGUGCUUAACACAUGCAAGUCGAACGGAAAGGCCCUGCUUUUGUGGGGUGCUCGAGUGGCGAACGGGUGAGUAACACGUGAGUAACCUGCCCUUGACUUUGGGAUAACUUCAGGAAACUGGGGCUAAUACCGGAUAGGAGCUCCUGCUGCAUGGUGGGGGUUGGAAAGUUUCGGCGGUUGGGGAUGGACUCGCGGCUUAUAAGCUUGUUGGUGGGGUAGUGGCUUACCAAGGCUUUGACGGGUAGCCGGCCUGAGAGGGUGACCGGCCACAUUGGGACUGGGAUACGGCCCAGACUCCAACGGGAGGCAGAAGUGGGGAAUGUUGCACAAUGGGCGGAAGCCUGAUGCAGCAAAGCCGCGUGCGGGAUGACGGCCUUCGGGUUGUAAUCCGCUUUCGCCUGUGACGAAGCGUGAGUGACGGUAAUGGGUAAAGAAGCACCGGCUAACUACGUG
RNAcentral lists this ribosomal RNA (468 nucleotides) under uncultured bacterium. Its description in RNAcentral is "partial 16S ribosomal RNA". It matches the Rfam family "Bacterial small subunit ribosomal RNA", at positions 28 to 507 of the family's 1533-position model. The record is from RNAcentral.